GGACUCUGAUAGGAGUUCCUCCCUUCUCUCCUCUCAGAUAAACAAUGGAAAAUGAAAGCGUAAAGAAGUCUAGAAAGCGUAGCCGUCAAUAAUGGCUUAGAAAUAACAUAAAUAGGGUUUCUGGUUCUCUAAGGGUAUUUUGGUAAUUUGUGGUUACUUCUGGUCAUAAAAUAUACAAGGCUCAAGAUCUGGGAUCUCCAUCGAUCGACGUGCAGAGUGCUGCAUCGAUCGACGCGGCUUCCUCUUCUCGGCAGCUUCCUCUCGCGAGACAGACUGACCACUCUUCAGUAAAACGGGCAUAACAUUUGCUACAGGAUUCUGAUUGACCUAAGACCGGUGGAAUUGGAAAGCUAACUCCAAGCUCUAUCUUGGAUCAAAAUAUGAGGUCAAUCUAACGGUCGGAAAGUCUCCAUCCGUAGCUAAACAUCUGACGUGUUUGUGCAACUCUGCACCUCCAAAAGUUCCAAAAGACUCCAAAAUCACCAUAUUUCUCCUAAACGUCCCUGAACC
Molecule: long non-coding RNA, 510 nt
Filed under: Brassica napus (rape)
Lineage: Eukaryota; Viridiplantae; Streptophyta; Magnoliopsida; Brassicales; Brassicaceae
Description: long non-coding RNA (BNAP_LNC007654)
Source: RNAcentral